Long non-coding RNA from Oncorhynchus tshawytscha (Chinook salmon), 404 nucleotides. The record is from Ensembl. Lineage: Eukaryota; Metazoa; Chordata; Actinopteri; Salmoniformes; Salmonidae.
CAAAUUCCCAAAGUGCCUUCCCAACCCGCUGACACUGCAGUAAAGGGAUGAGGUGCAGAGAGAGCCACGGGGUGCAGUGAAGGGAUGAGGUGCAGAGAGAGCCACGGGGUGCAGUAAAGGGAUGAGGUACAGAGAGAGCCACAGGGUGCAGUGAAGGGAUGAGGUGCAGAGAGAGCCACGGGGUGCAGUGAAGGGAUGAGGUACAGAGAGAGCCACGGGGUGCAGUGAAGGGAUGAGGUGCAGAGAGAGCCACGGGGUGCAGUGAAGGGAUGAGGUACAGAGAGAGCCACGGGGUGCAGUGAAGGGAUGAGGUACAGAGAGAGCCCCGGGGUGCAGUGAAGGGAUGAGGUACAGAGAGAGCCCCGGGGUGCAGUGAAGGGAUGAGGUACAGAGAGAGCCCCGGG